RNAcentral lists this long non-coding RNA (1325 nucleotides) under Homo sapiens (human). RNAcentral describes it as "HSALNT0036897". The record is from RNAcentral. Lineage: Eukaryota; Metazoa; Chordata; Mammalia; Primates; Hominidae.
GGGCUAAUGAAGGAAGCCAGAUCCACCUGCUCAUGCCCCUGAGAUGGGGGGCCGAUGGUGCCCAUGAGCUGUGAGGAGAGGAGUGGACCAGGAGGUCAUUUGGAAGAAGAAAUUUCCACCUAAAGGAAGAGAGGUUAGGCCAGAAGGGAAAAAAAAUAAAAAGCAAAAAUAAAGUACAACAGAACUUCUUUUAUUGUGUUGCUCUCAUUUUAUCCUGCUUCCAGGAACAUAAUCUCAGAGAGUACAACAAAUGCUACAUGUGAUUCUUUCCAAGUUUUCUGUGGAAGUUGGAUCAAAACCUUGGGUUUCUUGAUGUUCUCAGCCAACAGAACACCUUGAUGCUCACUGUGGCAACUUCCUAAAUGGUUCCCUAGGGAUCUGAAGAGCUAAGGCAGAGCCCAGCGCACAGGGAAUUGAGGAUCAUGCUCCAACUACACCCUGGGGAAACUUCUGUGUAUUGAGCUGGGAGAAGAGAAAUUUUAGAUUAAACUAGUUAUUGGCUAUAUUUAAUUGAUUUGUGAUUGGAUUAUGUAAGACAUGAAAGGAUCCUUACAGAUACGACAGCACACUCUCCUGGUUUUAGAGGAGGAAAUUGAGGCGUAAGAGGUCACAGGCUCCAGUUCACACACAGAAACCUACUCUCAGAAAACCCAUUGAAGUCCCUGUUUUACAACUAACAUAAUGGGCGUGUGGAAAUGCCUCUCCAUCCACCAGGGGGCAGAAACGAACCCUUUGAUUGGCCAGAGAUCUUUGGACUUCAACUUUGAUUUGGAAUAGUUGUAAUUUGCAUAGCCUUUUCACUCUCAGACAUCACUCUUUCUGUCACUAGGAACAUAACCAUAUAGACUUUUCAAAGAAACCUCUUAAUUCUGUGUGAAACUCUAAACUUCACUCUACCAAUAAACUUCCCCACAUUCACACUAGAGAGAUGUGAUGGGAAUGCUGGGUCUUACAUAUGGUGGUCUUCAUAUUUUCGUGGAUUUGUCUUUUGAGGCAUGGAGUGCCUGACCUUUGCGUAUGCAAGAUUCGCUAGCAUGUAAACUCUGUCACUGUCUCCCAAGAACACAGAAACAGGGCUAUUAAUAAUUUUAAUGCUUACUGUUUUGUGUAGCUUUUUUUGCAGAAACUGUCUAUUAAAAAGUCAAAUUUGGUGGUGCUUUUCUUGUGUUUUUGGUGGGGAGGCGGACCGCUUCCUGGAAGGAAGGGAUGUGUGUAAUGUAUAUAAAGUCACCUUGUGCUAUUCUCAUUCAGUUUAGCACCGUGCUGCUCAGUGAUCAUGGCCUUCAUCAAUGCAAGCAUCAAAGUAAGGGUGGCCAUUUCAGGAG